GGAUCAUCAUUGUGCUUGUGGGUUUAGCAGCUCUCAUAGCAGCUGUUGUGGUGGUCAACAUGUGGAUGAGAAUUAAAGGGAACCAAACACAGAGGGAAGACAAUGCUGAGCAGAAUGAUGAGGAUGGAGAUGAAGGUACAGUGACGUAUGAAAACGUUGGAGAACCUUCUGUUUCUAUCAGACUCCACUGAUCAACAACUUCAACAUCAGCAUGAAGUCGUAAAGGAAACGCAUCACAUAAUUUGAAGUGCUUUGUUAGAUAAUGUCAAACUUCUCUUUCAGAUUUAAUCAUUUUAUAUUCAGCACCGACAGCUACGCCAUUGUUUAACUAUUGAGUCUUGAUCUGUAAACAUCAACAGAUUGUUGAUUUUAUCAUUAUCAUUUACACGUUCAAGUUAUUCUUUAAACACAUAGGCUACAUGGUAUGAAGUGUGAUAUAACUGCCGUCUUUUC
Centropristis striata (black sea bass) is the source of this 453-nucleotide long non-coding RNA. RefSeq lists it as uncharacterized. NCBI's taxonomy places the organism in Eukaryota, Metazoa, Chordata, Actinopteri, Perciformes, Serranidae. The transcript is spliced from 3 exons. The record is from RefSeq and is a predicted model, not a curated record.